UACGUAGGGGGCAAGCGUUGUCCGGAUUUAUUGGGCGUAAAGAGCGUGUAGGCGGCCUGACAGGUCUGCUGUGAAAACUCGAGGCUCAACCUCGAGAUGUCGGCGGAAACCGUCUGGCUAGAGUCCGGAAGAGGAGAGUGGAAUUCCUGGUGUAGCGGUGAAAUGCGCAGAUAUCAGGAAGAACACCAAUUGCGAAGGCAGCUCGCUGGGACGUUACUGACGCUGAGACGCGAAAGCGUGGGGAGCAAACAGG
RNAcentral lists this ribosomal RNA (253 nucleotides) under uncultured bacterium. Its description in RNAcentral is "partial 16S ribosomal RNA". It matches the Rfam family "Bacterial small subunit ribosomal RNA", at positions 524 to 776 of the family's 1533-position model. The record is from RNAcentral.